CUCCGACUCAGGAGGAAUACCGGUGGCGAAGGCGGCCCCUGGACGAAGACUGACGCUCAGGUGCGAAAGCGUGGGAGCAAACAGGAUUAGAUACCCUGGUAGUCCACGCCGUAAACGAUGUCGACUUGGAGGUUGUGCCCUUGAGGCGUGGCUUCCGGAGCUAACGCGUUAAGUCGACCGCCUGGGGAGUACGGCCGCAAGGUUAAAACUCAAAUGAAUUGACGGGGGCCCGCACAAGCGGUGGAGCAUGUGGUUUAAUUCGAUGCAACGCGAAGAACCUUACCUGGUCUUGACAUCCACAGAACUUUCCAGAGAUGGAUUGGUGCCUUCGGGAACUGUGAGACAGGUGCUGCAUGGCUGUCGUCAGCUCGUGUUGUGAAAUGUUGGGUUAAGUCCCGCAACGAGCGCAACCCUUAUCCUUUGUUGCCAGCGGUCCGGCCGGGAACUCAAAGGAGACUGCCAGUGAUAAACUGGAGGAAGGUGGGGAUGACGUCAAGUCAUCAUGGCCCUUACGACCAGGGCUACACACGUGCUACAAUGGCGCAUACAAAGAGAAGCGACCUCGCGAGAGCAAGCGGACCUCAUAAAGUGCGUCGUAGUCCGGAUUGGAGUCUGCAACUCGACUCCAUGAAGUCGGAAUCGCUAGUAAUCGUGGAUCAGAAUGCCACGGUGAAUACGUUCCCGGGCCUUGUACACACCGCCCGUCACACCAUGGGAGUGAGUUGCAAAAGAAGUAGGUAGCUUAACCUUCGGGAGGGCGCUUACCACUUUGUGAUUCAUGACUGGGGUGAAGUCGUAACAAGGUAACCGUAGGGGAACCUGCGGUUG
Molecule: ribosomal RNA, 828 nt
Filed under: Escherichia coli 8624
Lineage: Bacteria; Pseudomonadati; Pseudomonadota; Gammaproteobacteria; Enterobacterales; Enterobacteriaceae
Description: bacterial SSU rRNA
Rfam family: Bacterial small subunit ribosomal RNA
Source: RNAcentral